GACGAACGCUGGCGGCGUGCUUAACACAUGCAAGUCGAACGAAGAGCGAUGGAAGCUUGCUUCUAUCAAUCUUAGUGGCGAACGGGUGAGUAACGCGUAAUCAACCUGCCCUUCAGAGGGGGACAACAGUUGGAAACGACUGCUUAUACCGCAUACGAUCUAACCUCGGCAUCGAGGAAAGAUGAAAGGUGGCCUCUAUGUAUAAGCUAUCACUGAAGGAGGGGAUUGCGUCUGAUUAGCUAGGUGGAGGGGUAACGGCCCACCAAGGGGGUGAUCAGUAGCCGGUCUUGGAAGAUGGACCGCCAACAUGGGACCGGGACACGGCCCAAGCUCCUAAGGGAAGCAGCAGGUGGGGAUCUUCCGCCAUGGAGGGAAGGCUGACGGAAGAACGCCGGGGGGGUGAUGAAGGCCUUCGGGUUGGAAAGCUCUGUUAAUCGGGACGAAAGGCCUUCUUGCGAAUAGUGAGAAGGAUUGACGGUACCGGAAUAGAAAGCCACGGCUAACUACGUG
RNAcentral lists this ribosomal RNA (510 nucleotides) under uncultured bacterium. Its description in RNAcentral is "partial 16S ribosomal RNA". It matches the Rfam family "Bacterial small subunit ribosomal RNA", at positions 28 to 507 of the family's 1533-position model. The record is from RNAcentral.